Molecule: long non-coding RNA, 3368 nt
Filed under: Sus scrofa (pig)
Lineage: Eukaryota; Metazoa; Chordata; Mammalia; Artiodactyla; Suidae
Description: lncRNA (ENSSSCG00000056930.1)
Source: RNAcentral
AAAGUAUCUGAGUGAUCCUGAGUAGUUUAAGGAUGAGUAGAGGGUAUAGGGUUUCUGGGGUUUGUGAUUAAAAAUUGAGAUAAAAUGGGGAAGAAAAGGGCAAUUUUUGUGAGGCACGAAUUUCAAAUUUUCCUAGGUUCAGCCUUAGGAAUAAAGGUCAGGUGUUAAUAUAUUCAUACUCUUUCUGACAUCAUAUAGUUUGAUUAUCAUCAGUUGCACCCAUGUUGCUGCAAAUGCAUUAUUUUGUUCUUUUUUAUGGCUAAGUAGUAUUCCAUUGUGUAUAUGUAUUAGAUCUUCUUAUUCCAUCCAUCUGCUGAUGGACAUUUAGGUUGUUUCCAUAUCUUGGCUAUUGUGGGUAAUGGUGCUUUGCACAUAGGGGUGAAUAUAUCUUUUUGAAUUAUAAUUUUGUCUGUAUAUAAGCCCUAAAGUGGGAUUGCUUAAGCGGCAUAAUUUUAGAGCAAAGCUAGAAGUUGAACAUAUACAAAUAUAUAAUUAUAAACUACAAGACAUGGUCUGAGGAAAAUUUGGUUACAUAAGAGAAUAUAACAGGAAGAUUAGUUCUCUAAGGCUAGUGGUUCCAUGAUUAGAAAAGAUCUUAUUAAGAAAGUUAUAUUUAAGUCAAAGCCUAAAGAUGUAUUAUAGAAGGUCAGAAGAUGAAGAAUGAGUAAAAAGAAUAUUCCAGUGUGCAAAAUUGCUAUGUCGAAAAAUAUGAUAUGACUUGCAUUUUUGAGAAACAGACUUCAUAAUAUACUGAAAAAAUCUUGGACGUUGAUGAGAAAUGAGAUGGCGGAGCCAAUUCAUGGAGAUCAUGAAAAAGCACUGGAAUUUUAUUCCAAAUGCAUUUGGAAAGGUAUUGAAAGAUUUGAACUAGCUUCUUAUAUGUUUGAUAAUUUUUUUCAAAGUUUAUUCUGUUUGGAAAAAAUGGAUUGGAAGGUCAUAAGAAUGCAGAAAGGAAAAUCAUUUGGCAGGGCUUUGAGAAAUAAAUGCUUAGGGUUUGGACUAAGUUCUUGCUAGGAGACAUAAAGGGAGAUGAAAAGAACUGAAAUAUAUAUUAAAAGUUGAAGCAGGGGUUCCUGCUGUGGUGCAACAGGAUCAACAACAUCUCUGGAGGACUGGGAUGGAGGCUCAAUCCCCAGUCCCACACAGUGGGUUAUGGAUUUGGCAUUUGCAACUAUGGCUUGGAUAUGACUUUUGGUUCAGGAACUCCAUAUGCUGUUGGGUAGCCAAAAGAAAAAUGUUGACACAAAAUAUAUUGGUUAAUUAGUUGUAAUAGAUUGGGAAAGGUGCUAAGGAAAAGGGAGAAGUUAAUCUCUAUGAUAUUUCUAGCAUUAAAAAAAGGUGAGUGUAAUGAAAGUUUAAUUUGCCAGGAAGUCAAGAAUGAAGAAAGGAAAAUGGGUGAAAAAUCAGGGAUUAUUAUUUGCUACAGUAUCUUACAAAUAGCAUGAAUUAUUGAAUAUAGAUGCCUGUAGACAGUUGAAAAAAGUAGUCUGAAGCUCAGAAGAGAUGGCUGGAUAUAGAUAUAAGUUUGAGAUCUUUUCAAAUUUUGAGGAUAAAUAUGAUUGCCUAGGAAAUGAAUAUAGAGGAACAAGAAAAAAGGGCCCAGAGUGGACCUCUGAAGACAUACAAAAUACAAGUGUUAGAGAAAAAUGAUCUCCUAAAUGAGACUAAAGUGUAGUAAGGAAGGGAAACCAGGUGAGUGUAGGAGUGUCCCAAAGAAAAGGAAGAAAAGUAUGAUUCAAGAACAACUUCAAAUUUCUUGAAUGCUGAGAAGUUGUAGUGAGUUGAAAUUUGUUCUCCAAAAAGAUAUGUUCAAGUCCCAACUUUCUGUGCCUCUGAAUGUGACUUUAUUUAGAAAAAGGGUUUGUAUGAAUGUAAUCAAGUUAAGAUGAAGUCAUACAAGACUUGAGUAGGCCUUAAAUCCAAUCGCCAGCAUCCUUUUAAGAAGAGAGGACAUGAAAAACAUCGAAGUCAUCUUAAGACAGAGGCAAGGAUCAUAGUGCUGUAGCUACAAGCCAAGCAAAGCCAAGGAUUGCUAGGAGACAGAAGAAACUAGGAGAAAGCAUGGAUUUCUUCUCCUUCAGAGCCUCCAUAAAGAAACCAUCUUGUGCCAACCCCAGACGGGAUUAAGAUGGUGGAAUAGAAGGACUGGAGCUCAACUUCUCUCCCAAAAACAACAAAAUUCACAACUAAAGGCUGAGCAAUCUUCACCCAAAUAGACCGGAAACCUUAAAAAAGAUAUCCUACUCCAGAAGAAAAAGAGGAGGCCACAUCAAGAGGUAGGAGGGGCGAUUUCAUGAUAUAAACAACCCCAUACCUCCUGGGUGGGGAGCUCCACAGGCUGGAAACUAACUGGUUCACAGAGACUCACCUACAAGCGUGAGAGUUCUGAGCCCCACAUCAAACCCUCACAUGCGGGGAUCUGGCACUGGGAGAAGGAGCCCUUGGAGCAUCUGGCAUUGAAGGCCAGUGGGGCUUGUGCGCAGGAGCUCCACAGGACUGGGGGAAACGGAGACCCCUUUCUCAAAAGGCGCACACGGACUUUCAUGUGCACUGGGUCCCAGGGCAGAGCGAGAUCUCCAUGGGAAUCUGGGUCAAACCUGACUGCAGUUCUUGGAGGACAUCCUGGGAAAACAGGGGUGAAUGUGGCUUGUUGUGAGGGAAGGACAUUGAAGGCAAAGCUCUCAGGAAUACUCAGCAGCGUGCCUUUCUCUGGAGGUGGCCAUUUUGGGAAAAGCUGGCCCCACCCAUCAGUCAGUGCUGGGGAUCACAGCCCCACCCCUCAGUAAACAGGCUGCCUAAAGACCCCUCAGGCACACAGCUGCCUCUAAUCCCAUCCAGAGACUAAGCCCCAACCACCAGAGGGAUCAGAAUCAGCUCCACCUACCAGUGGGCAGGCAUCAGCCCCUCCCAUCAGGAAGCCUACAGCAAGCCCCCAUACCGACUUCAGCCACAAGGGGGGCAGACACCAGAAGCGAGAGAGGCUACAACUCUAUUAUCUGUGAAAAGGUCACCACACCAAAAACCUAUAAAAAUGAAAAGACAGAGAACUAUAACUCAGAUGAGGGAGAAAGGAAAAACCCCAGAAAGUCGGCUAAGCAAUGAGGAGAUUCUCAGCCUCCAGGAAAAAGACUUUAGAUCGUUGAUGCUGAAGAUGAUGCAAGACAUUGGAAAUAAACUGGAGGCAAAGAUGGAUAACUUACAGGAAACACUGAGCAAAGAGAUACAAGAUAUAAAACUUAAACAAGAAGAGAUGCAAAAUACAAUAACGGAAAUAAAAAAUUCACUAGAAGCAGCUAACAGCAGAAUACAGGAGGCAGAAGAACAAAUAAGCCAGGUGGAGGACAGAUUAGUGGAAAUUACGGAUGCAG